UACGAGGGGUCCUAGCGUUGUUCGGAAUCAUUGGGCGUAAAGGGCGUGUAGGUGGCUAUUCAAGUCAGUUGUGAAAUCCCCGGGCUUAACCCGGGAAGUGCUUCUGAUACUGUUUAGCUUGAGUACUGGAGAGGAUAGUAGAAUUCCUGGUGUAGUGGUGAAAUACGUAGAUAUCAGGAGGAAUACCGGUGGCGAAGGCGGCUAUCUGGCCAUGUACUGACACUGAAACUCGAAAGCGUGGGGAGCAAACAGG
RNAcentral lists this ribosomal RNA (253 nucleotides) under uncultured bacterium. RNAcentral describes it as "partial 16S ribosomal RNA". It matches the Rfam family "Bacterial small subunit ribosomal RNA", at positions 524 to 776 of the family's 1533-position model. The record is from RNAcentral.